Molecule: ribosomal RNA, 555 nt
Filed under: uncultured bacterium
Lineage: Bacteria
Description: partial 16S ribosomal RNA
Rfam family: Bacterial small subunit ribosomal RNA
Source: RNAcentral
UAGGGAAUCUUCCACAAUGGACGCAAGUCUGAUGGAGCAACGCCGCGUGAGUGAAGAAGGUUUUCGGACCGUAAAGCUCUGUUGUUGGUGAAGAAGGAUAGAGGUAGUAACUGGCCUUUAUUUGACGGUAAUCAACCAGAAAGUCACGGCUAACUACGUGCCAGCAGCCGCGGUAAUACGUAGGUGGCAAGCGUUGUCCGGAUUUAUUGGGCGUAAAGCGAGCGCAGGCGGAAGAAUAAGUCUGAUGUGAAAGCCCUCGGCUUAACCGAGGAAUUGCAUCGGAAACUGUUUUCUUGAGUGCAGAAGAGGAGAGUAGAACUCCAUGUGUAGCGGUGGAAUGCGUAGAUAUAUGGAAGAAUACCAGUGGCGAAGGCGGCUCUCUGGUCUGCAACUGACGCUGAGGCUCGAAAAGCAUGGGUAGCGAACAGGAUUAGAUACCCUGGUAGUCCAUGCCGUAAACGAUGAGUGCUAAGUGUUGGGAGGCUUCCGCCUCUCAGUGCUGCAGCUAACGCAUUAAGCACUCCGCCUGGGGGAGUACGACCGCAAGGUUGAAAC